Molecule: ribosomal RNA, 440 nt
Filed under: uncultured bacterium
Lineage: Bacteria
Description: partial 16S ribosomal RNA
Rfam family: Bacterial small subunit ribosomal RNA
Source: RNAcentral
CGCAGCUGAUGCAGCACGCCGCGUGAGUGAUGAGGCCUUCGGGUUGUAAACCUCUUUUCUCGGGGACGAUAAUGGCGGUACCCCCCGAAUAAGCCCCGGCCAACUCCGUGCCCGCCGCCCCCGUAAAACCAAGGGGGCCGGGGUUGUCCGGAUUUUCUGGGCGUAAAGCGCACGUAGGGGGGUUGGUUAGUCGGGGGUGAAAUCCCCCGGCUUAACUCGGGAAGGGCCUUCCAUACUGGACGGCUUGAGUGCGGGUGGGGGGGGUGGAAUUCCCUGUGGGGAGGGGAAAUGGGUUGAUAUUCGGAGGAACGCCAGUGGGGAAGGCGGGUCACUGGUCCGGUACUGACCCUUAAGUGCGGAAGCGUGGGGAGCAAACCGGAUUUGAUACCCUGGUAGUCCACGCCAUUAACUAUGGGUGCUAGGGGUGGGGUGGAAUUUUU